This 495-nucleotide ribosomal RNA is filed under the name uncultured bacterium. RNAcentral describes it as "partial 16S ribosomal RNA". It matches the Rfam family "Bacterial small subunit ribosomal RNA", at positions 28 to 507 of the family's 1533-position model. The record is from RNAcentral.
GAUGAACGCUGGGCGUGCCUAAUACAUGCAAGUCGAGCGAACGGACGAGAAGCUUGCUUCUCUGAUGUUAGCGGCGGACGGGUGAGUAACACGUGGAUAACCUACCUAUAAGACUGGGAUAACUUCGGGAAACCGGAGCUAAUACCGGAUAAUAUUUUGAACCGCAUGGUUCAAAAGUGAAAGACGGUCUUGCUGUCACUUAUAGAUGGAUCCGCGCUGCAUUAGCUAGUUGGUAAGGUAACGGCUUACCAAGGCAACGAUGCAUAGCCGACCUGAGAGGGUGAUCGGCCACACUGGAACUGAGACACGGUCCAGACUCCUACGGGAGGCAGCAGUAGGGAAUCUUCCGCAAUGGGCGAAAGCCUGACGGAGCAACGCCGCGUGAGUGAUGAAGGUCUUCGGAUCGUAAAACUCUGUUAUUAGGGAAGAACAUAUGUGUAAGUAACUGUGCACAUCUUGACGGUACCUAAUCAGAAAGCCACGGCUAACUACGUG